GGUGGACAUGUGUAGAGAGUUCUGUUUUAAGAAGCAGUCUCAACCCAUUACUAGUCUGUUUCAACUAAUGUGGGCCCAGGAAAAUUACAAGGACACAAUUUUUGGGGGUCUUGAACAGGGUGUACACAUAACCCAUGGGGCCCCGGUGCAGAACUGAUUCAUGUGGCCCCCCUUCCCUCUCUCUUCACCCCCCUCUAACUCUUCCCCUUGACAGACACACGCAUGCAUACAUACAUACAGAAACAGGUCGACAGAUACAUAUAGACACAUACAUACACACGACACAUACAUACAGACAGGCAUACAUACA
This is a non-coding RNA of Pelobates cultripes (western spadefoot toad), 310 nucleotides long. NCBI's taxonomy places the organism in Eukaryota, Metazoa, Chordata, Amphibia, Anura, Pelobatidae. The record is from the annotation of a GenBank genome assembly.